AGGACCAUGGCCCAGUGGUUAGAAUGUCUGCUUGACAUGCAGAACGUCUCGGGUUCAGUCCCCAAUGGCAUAUCCA
Non-coding RNA from Podarcis lilfordi (Lilford's wall lizard), 76 nucleotides. The record is from the annotation of a GenBank genome assembly. NCBI's taxonomy places the organism in Eukaryota, Metazoa, Chordata, Lepidosauria, Squamata, Lacertidae.